GAAAAAAAAAUCAUUGUAUUUUGUCUUGCAGUGCUGCAUGAUUGAAUCUUUACAAAAACAAUUAAUUUAUGGUGUCUUACGGUAACGGAUUAGUAUGAAGUUGGCAUCCAUUGAGAUUUGUGCACUCAUCGCAUGGCCUUCGUUUAAGUCCUCCACUGACUAAAAUGAUUUCCAUUGACUAACGAGACUCGAUAAUUGUACGAAGGUGGAUUUGUGCACUCAUCGCAUGGCCUUUGUUUAAGUCUUCCAUUGACUAAAAAGAUUUCCGUUCUACCGGACUCAAUUGUCAAGUCGUCCAUUGGUAAACAACUGAACAUCUGUUGAAGAAGUGAUGAUGAGGCUCUGAAGAAGAUGUCUCCAAGAUUUCUACUGGAAGGAAAAGAUAUGAAGGAAAAUAGUAAUAGAAAAGCUAAAAAUAAUGGAAUUUUCGUGUAGUUUGGUGAUCAAAGCAUGGAGGGCAAAGGAAUAGUUAUCAGACGAAGCAACAUAUGAUUUAGUGAAGAGAUCAUAGGAAAAGCAGCUGCGUACAUAAUUGAAGCACCCUCGUUAUAUAGUUGGCUGAUAAAAGAAUAAAUGCUACCUCAUAUGCCCUUGCUUGCAGCCAGUCGCCAAUAUCUUGUUUCUCCUAUGAUGCUUUUGAAGGGAGAAGAGAAAGAGUGAUGAAAUCUUCAGUAAAUAGAGUGUCUUUGAAAUCAAGGAUGCAUAGAAGAGAUAAGGGAAGAAUAUGUGUAGAAAUUUUCAAGGUCAGCAAGCUAGGGAAGGGUGAUCCAACUGAAUUCACUAGCUAAUUAGAGGUCAAAUUUUAGAUGGCAUAAUGCAGACCAAAAAAAUUAGCUAGGCUG
Theobroma cacao (cacao) is the source of this 842-nucleotide non-coding RNA. Lineage: Eukaryota; Viridiplantae; Streptophyta; Magnoliopsida; Malvales; Malvaceae. The record is from RefSeq and is a predicted model, not a curated record.